GCACUGGUAUGUUUGUCUGGAAAAAGUCGGUUCCUUAGGAGCAUGAAAACCACACUGCAGUCUGAGCUGACGACCUUAAGAGUAGAGGGGAGCAAUGAACAGCCCUUGUCCCUGUGAGGGUGAGGGGCUGUGCCUAGUCAAUGUGGACCAGCCACUGCAGGUUGAAAUGAGCAUCGAAUACUGUCCUUCAUCUACUCACUGAGGGCAACAGAAUUUGUCUGAAAUUGUGGUAGAAUUAUGGCAAUUACCCUUCAACUCUGUGCUAACCCUCUUGUUCCUGCUCUCACGGUUAGUUUUUUUUUUUUUUUUUGCAAGCGGUUUGGCCACAAAGGGAAUAAAGAAAGAUCCUCCCAUUUUCCUAAUGUCUGCACGAAAAUCAGAUCUACAAAGAACUCUCAGAAGAAGACCUAAAGAGAGAGGCAAAGUGACUAUGGCACGUAUGGGGAGAAGAAAGGGUAACUACUGCAGUCUGCAAACAGCAGUCACACCCAACCAGUCUUAUUUAACAAAACUAUUCUAGUGGCAGAGAAGCAUUUAGCACCUUAGUGAACCAUCAUUCUCCUUUAAAAAUAUAUACAUUUUUAUUAUAGGCCUGUGUCUGUUCAGUCCUAGCUUCUAGACUUUGACUGAAGACGUUAUGCCUCUACUUGUUUGAUUGAAAGAAACGUACAGUACUACUGGGAAUGCUCUCCAAACACAGGGACUGACAGGCUGUGAACAACCACUGUUUAAGCUUUUAUUGUGUUAAUCGGUGUCAUUUCUCAAGUGCCUCUUCACGGAAGGACAACUUUCAAGACAAGGAUUGUUCUUGACACUUCUUUGCUGGUAUCUGCUUUGAAGUGUACACAUCAAAACUGGACAGAGAUUUCCAGGAAUGGAAAUAGGGCACAGAGGACCAUUUCCAGAGAUUUCAACAUCUGUGCUUUGCCUUCUGACAUCACCUUGAGAACUCACUAAGGACUGCAGCUGCUGCCAUCGAACCAGUAUGGUGCGUUACUUUCAUAGAAACAGGGUCCAAUAUCCCAUGUGUUUUUGUUGCUCCCUCCCCACCCCCCUUUUUUUUAUACAUGAACUAUAUGGUACGUGAACUAUAUUAAAUAUUUUAUGAGGGCUGCUCCGAAAGUAAUGCCUGCUAUUUUAUUGUAUUGGCCCAUAGUGUCAGAGGCAGAUGUUGGUGGUACGGCAGCAGAUGUUGGACCUUCCCACCAGUAUUUCAUCAUGUUUUGUUGCCGUGCGUCAGAUGGCAGCAGAGGGGCAGUCUGACUAAACGAUGUCUGCCAUGGAAGUGCCUAUGAAGCAAAGUUAUGUCACCAAAUUCCUCCAUAUGGAAAAACUGUCACCCACUGACAUUCAUCGAUGAGUGGAGCCAGCUUUGCUUGGAAGCUCCAAUGAAGAUCUCUUGCCUCUCUGGAAGCCUCAGCAUGCUCUCUCUUUGAGGCUGUUGGACACGAAGAGAGGAGAAAGUGUAUGUGCAGACUGCUGGGCAUAGGGUCUCUCAGUCCCCACCUCACUGUGAGAAACAUGGUGACUGGUAAAUCACGUGUGAGAGAACUCGGUGUUCAUCUCCCACAGUUCACAGUGCUGCUAUGGCUCUUUUCUUCAUGAGGAAAGCACCAAAGAAGAAAUGUGUCGUCUGCUUUCACAAGGAGCUUUCUGGGAGCUUCCUGAUUGACUUUCUAUUGUCAGAGAAAGGUGGGGAAGGUCACCUGCUGAGCAGGCGGGACAGAAGGGACAGACCCACAGCCCUUUCCUUCCUCUCCAGUGGGUGGCAUGCCCAAUCACUGAGCUGGCAAGGCAGGAGCAUUGCUGGCCAGUGCUGUCUGCAGCCACAAGAUGAGUGUGUGUACAGUGAUAGCUGUGCUAGCUACAGGAUCUUUUCUCCUGUGUGCAAGAUACUCCUCUCAUCACAGAGACAAAAUGCUACCAGUGCUCAGUGGAUUGCAGAAAUGUUCUCAGCAGAUUUUGGGCUUCAUGCAUCCUCCCAGUGCACUGAGUAGCAGAGAUUUUUCUUUUCUCUUCAGAAAGUCUGCAUUCACGAUUUGAAGAAUACUUUUAUUUCAUCCCAGUGAAUCAACGUCUUGUUUACGAGGCAGAUUAAAGAUACCUCAGAGCAGAGUUCUUUCCAUAUUGUUUGAGAAAAUGUGGUUAUGGACCACCAGCAUUCACUGGCCCUCCAGCAGCCAGAAUUUUCUGCUAUUUUGCAAAGAUAAUGGGAAAAGUACAGAAUUUGCUACUAUUGGCAAAAUCCUGCUCCAUCUUAUUAAGUAUGGACAGGACAUGAAAGUAGUUGGUAAUAAACACAAUAUGUGAGUUCUUUAAAGCUGAUCUAGUAAGAUCUUAGAGUUUAGAAAAACAAAACACCCAGAACAAAAGCCUGUCUGACAACUUAAUAGCAUUAUUGGGUUUAAAGUAUUUGAGACCAUCCAAACAAGUACCUGUACCAUUUACCUUCCAAGUGAGAAUACAAUCUCCAAAGAGAGCAGUUAGAUUAGUUAAAUUUCCUUCAAGCCCUCACAUUCUGCUAUCAUGUGUUGGAAACAGUUAAUUGUGUGGAAAUACAGGAAGGUUUUGGUGUAACCUCAAAAGUUCAGUGUCAUUGACACUGGACAAUUGUUCCAGCAAUGAACAGACUUAGUCCUGGGAAAUGCAGUCAACUGCUCAAGGAAGAAUUUGCUUGUUGCAGAUGUUCGUACAUUGCUGUAUGAAACUUGAACUAGCCUGUUACUACUCUCCAACUGUUUGAAAAAGUAGGUGAUUGUGGGUGGGGACUGAGGUGGAAAGUCUAACAGGGUGCUGAUAUCAUAACGCCUCCACAAGCCUGUUAACUUUAACUCUUGGACUUUGUAAUGCAGUCUGCAGAAACUGUAUUUUAUCAUUCUUGCCCCUUGAUAAUAUUGUGUACCCCCCCCCCCCCCAAAAAAAAAAAAAAAAAAAAAAAAAGUGAGUGGCAAUUAUCUGUAGUGUGGUGGAACUCUUCCUGCCAGAAAAGGCAAUAGUUUCUGCUCCAAUUGAAGUUAAAGCCACUGUACUCCAAAUCUCCAUUCAACACCCUCACUCAGUGUCCUGACCACAGUCAGAGGUCUGAAGGGUUUCUAUAAAACCAAGAAUUAUGUUCUCUGCAUGGAAGUGAUCCUCAGAGGUUGCCUCUCCCCAUACUGUCCUUUCAUACAGAACAUACAGGCAUACAGAACAGAUGCCUCAGGCAUCCAGCCUGUAGGUCUUUGCCUUGUUUGUCCUAGACCUAUCUCAGAUUGCCAU
Molecule: long non-coding RNA, 3258 nt
Organism: Gallus gallus (chicken)
Lineage: Eukaryota; Metazoa; Chordata; Aves; Galliformes; Phasianidae
Source: Ensembl